This 508-nucleotide ribosomal RNA is filed under the name uncultured bacterium. Its description in RNAcentral is "partial 16S ribosomal RNA". It matches the Rfam family "Bacterial small subunit ribosomal RNA", at positions 28 to 507 of the family's 1533-position model. The record is from RNAcentral.
GACGAACGCUGGCGGCGUGCCUAAUACAUGCAAGUCGAACGCUUCUUUCCUCCCGAGUGCUUGCACUCCAUUGGAAAGAGGAGUGGCGGACGGGUGAGUAACACGUGGGUAACCUACCCAUCAGAGGGGGAUAACACUUGGAAACAGGUGCUAAUACCGCAUAACAGUUUAUGCCGCAUGGCAUAAGAGUGAAAGGCGCUUUCGGGUGUCGCUGAUGGAUGGACCCGCGGUGCAUUAGCUAGUUGGUGAGGUAACGGCUCACCAAGGCCACGAUGCAUAGCCGACCUGAGAGGGUGAUCGGCCACACUGGGACUGAGACACGGCCCAGACUCCUACGGGAGGCAGCAGUAGGGAACCUUCGGCAAUGGACGAAAGUCUGACCGAGCAACGCCGCGUGAGUGAAGAAGGUUUUCGGAUCGUAAAACUCUGUUGUUAGAGAAGAACAAGGACGUUAGUAACUGAACGUCCCCUGACGGUAUCUAACCAGAAAGACACGGCUAACUACGUG